This 404-nucleotide ribosomal RNA is filed under the name Actinomycetes bacterium. RNAcentral describes it as "Actinobacteria bacterium partial 16S ribosomal RNA". It matches the Rfam family "Bacterial small subunit ribosomal RNA", at positions 355 to 776 of the family's 1533-position model. Lineage: Bacteria; Bacillati; Actinomycetota; Actinomycetes. The record is from RNAcentral.
UGGGGAAUAUUGGACAAUGGGCGCAAGCCUGAUCCAGCCAUGCCGCGUGAGUGAUGAAGGCCCUAGGGUUGUAAAGCUCUUUCACCGGUGAAGAUAAUGACGGUAACCGGAGAAGAAGCCCCGGCUAACUUCGUGCCAGCAGCCGCGGUAAUACGAAGGGGGCUAGCGUUGUUCGGAUUUACUGGGCGUAAAGCGCACGUAGGCGGACUUUUAAGUCAGGGGUGAAAUCCCGGGGCUCAACCCCGGAACUGCCUUUGAUACUGGAAGUCUUGAGUAUGGUAGCGGUGAGUGGAAUUCCGAGUGUAGAGGUGAAAUUCGUAGAUAUUCGGAGGAACACCAGUGGCGAAGGCGGCUCACUGGACCAUUACUGACGCUGAGGUGCGAAAGCGUGGGGAGCAAACAGG